Molecule: small nucleolar RNA, 210 nt
Organism: Suncus etruscus (white-toothed pygmy shrew)
Lineage: Eukaryota; Metazoa; Chordata; Mammalia; Eulipotyphla; Soricidae
Product: small nucleolar RNA U3
Exons: 1
Source: RefSeq, a predicted model, not a curated record
AAGACUAUACUUUCAGGGAUCAUUUCUAUAGUAUGUGACUAGAGAAGUUUUUCUGAUCCUGUAGAGCACCCAAAGUUAUGAGGAGGAGCCAGAGCGUCCUCUCCUGAGUGUGAAGCCAGCACUAGGUAUCACUUCUGUGACAGCCUCUUGCCACUGAUGAGCGUUCUUCCCUUCCUUUGGAAGGGAUAGAGGAAAAAAACCCAAAAAAAC